RNAcentral lists this ribosomal RNA (230 nucleotides) under uncultured bacterium. RNAcentral describes it as "partial 16S ribosomal RNA". It matches the Rfam family "Bacterial small subunit ribosomal RNA", at positions 562 to 791 of the family's 1533-position model. The record is from RNAcentral.
AAAGCGUGCGCAGGCGGUUUUGUAAGACUGUCGUGAAAUCCCCGGGCUCAACCUGGGAAUGGCGAUGGUGACUGCAUGGCUAGAGUACGGUAGAGGGGGAUGGAAUUCCGCGUGUAGCAGUGAAAUGCGUAGAUAUGCGGAGGAACACCGAUGGCGAAGGCAAUCCCCUGGACCUGUACUGACGCUCAUGCACGAAAGCGUGGGGAGCAAACAGGAUUAGAUACCCGUGU